Camelina sativa (false flax) is the source of this 521-nucleotide long non-coding RNA. RefSeq lists it as uncharacterized. The record is from RefSeq and is a predicted model, not a curated record. NCBI's taxonomy places the organism in Eukaryota, Viridiplantae, Streptophyta, Magnoliopsida, Brassicales, Brassicaceae.
ACCUUGUCAAGAUAAGAACUUGGAUGCUUCUUGGACGACAAAGAAGUUGCAGCUGGCAUGGAAAGGAUAUUUUGUCUACUUGUGUCUGCUGACAAAGAAGUUGGGUUUGUUUGUCCAACCGCAAUCAAUAUUAAGGGAGCAACAGAACACACAAGUCUUAAUCAGGUACGUAAACAAGAACAAAGUUACCAAAGACAGUAUUGUAGGAAUCUUCUUCACAAACUCUCUUCUUUACAAGAUGUUUUAUUCAGGUUCAAGCAACGUCACCAAACGGCUCCUCUCUCUCUUCAUUAGGGUUUUAUUUGAAGAUAAGAUCUCAAGAGUGUUUGAAUGUGGAUCGAGAGAUCCUAACCGGAUGUAUCGCUUCGCUUGUGUGAGCUCCUCUUAUUUGCUCUGUUUUAUCUUCUUCCUCUCCAUAUCGUUCUUUCUCUGUUUCUGUGAACUGGUGUUGAUGACAAAUAGCUUAGAAGCUUGAGCCUUUGAGAGGUUAAGCUUAAGCUCAGUACUUGACUUUUAUUUCA